CCUACGGGUGGCUGCAGUGGGGAAUAUUGCACAAUGGGGGAAACCCUGAUGCAGCAACGCCGCGUGAGUGAAGAAGUAUUUCGGUAUGUAAAGCUCUAUCAGCAGGGAAGAAAAUGACGGUACCUGAGUAAGAAGCCACGGCUAACUACGUGCCAGCAGCCGCGGGAAUACGUAGGGGGCAAGCGUUAUCCGGAUUUACUGGGUGUAAAGGGAGCGUAGACGGCGAUACAAGUCUGAAGUGAAAGCCCGGGGCUCAACCCCGGGUCUGCUUUGGAAACUGUGUUGCUGGAGUGCUGGAGAGGCAAGCGGAAUGUGUAGUGUAGCGGUGAAAUGCGUAGAUAUUAGGAAGAACACCAGGGGCGAAGGCGGCUUGCUGGACAGUAACUGACGUUGAGGCUCGAAAGCGUGGGGAGCAAACAGGAUUAGAUACCCCAGUAGUC
This 440-nucleotide ribosomal RNA is filed under the name uncultured bacterium. RNAcentral describes it as "partial 16S ribosomal RNA". It matches the Rfam family "Bacterial small subunit ribosomal RNA", at positions 338 to 795 of the family's 1533-position model. The record is from RNAcentral.